GCCGACAUAGCUCAGUGGUAGAGCGACGCACUCGUAAUGCGUAGGUCGUGGGUUCGAAUCCCACUGUCGGCUCCA
RNAcentral lists this transfer RNA (75 nucleotides) under Pseudomonadota bacterium. RNAcentral's name for it is "tRNA-Thr". It matches the Rfam family "tRNA". From Rfam's summary of the family: Transfer RNA (tRNA) molecules are approximately 80 nucleotides in length. The record is from RNAcentral. RNAcentral also lists the same sequence under 1 other name. Lineage: Bacteria; Pseudomonadati; Pseudomonadota.